This 1827-nucleotide ribosomal RNA is filed under the name Triticum aestivum (bread wheat). RNAcentral describes it as "partial small subunit ribosomal RNA". Lineage: Eukaryota; Viridiplantae; Streptophyta; Magnoliopsida; Poales; Poaceae. The record is from RNAcentral.
AUGGGCAAUGGCAUCUCCAAAAACACAUGCUUCUCUGGCGAAACCUAUGCACCGGCUGUCUCAUCGGACCCGGUACCCAACGACAUCCAUGGACAGUCCUUCAAGUACGUGCCAAUAGUCGUCGCCUUCGACAAGUCCCCAAUGGCUAAUAUGCUCUCAUCAAAAACACCCUUCUUAUCUUUAUUCGGAGCGGCCAUCAACGCCAACCAAGCGACAUCAUCAUCAAUACCGUCGUUCCGCCUACUUAAUGAGUUGAUGGUACCGCAAUCAUCUGUGUGCACUGUUAAGAGCUCGUGCUCCUCCGCCGCUGCACCGGUCCAGGACCAACCAACUAGGUUGUCCUUUUCUGGCCACUUCUUGGAUUCAUCCGGCACCGUAUCCACUAUCUCCAACCAGCUGUCAAGGCGGCCCUUCAUGUCAGGUAUGCUAGACCACUCCUUCUCAUCGUCCUCCUCCUUUUUUAGUCACCGGGACAGUGUUUCUCAUCCCAUGAAUGAACACGACGCCAUAGGCUCUCAGUGUUGCAAUGAGCAACCCCUUGAAAAAUCCUUAGCCACAGCCGGCUCUAGGCUCGAUUUUAGUGUGCCACGCAACAACCUCCUAUCAAAGGGUCCUACUGAGGUGUCAAAUAUGGAUUCCUUAGGCGAUGGGGAUCACCGCUCGCCACCAAGCGACAAUGUGCAGUGGGCUCAAGGCAUGGCUGGCGAGGACCGCUUCCAGGUGGCGGUCUCAGAGGAGUGUGGGUGGGUGUUCGUGGGGAUUUACGACGGCUUCCUCGGUCCUGAUGCGACCGACUACCUCUUUGCGAACCUCCACGUUGCCGUGAACCACACACUCAAGGGUGUGCUCUCGGACAACAUCCAAUGCAAUGAGCCAACAACCAAUUCUGAUAAUCUCUUUUGCCUGAAUGGAGGCAUCCAUAGCCCAGAAUUUGAACGUAAGCCGGCGAAGAGGGGUCGGACAGAACAUCCGGAGAAGAACAAUUCUGCCAUGUCUGGGGGCAGCCCAACGAUCCACCAGAGAGUCCUCAGGGCGCUGGGUCAGGCGCUGAGGGAGACGGAGGAGGCAUUUUUAGCAGCGGAGGAGGGCGCGGCUGACAACCCGGAGAUUGGGCUGAUGGGGUCAUGCGUGCUAGUGAUGCUGAUGAAGGGCGAGAACGUGUAUGUGAUGAACGUCGGGAACAGUCGUGCCGUGUUGGCGAGGAGGCCGUGGCCCAAUCUUAAUAACAUCCUCGGCAAGGCGACAGAGAAGGAUUUGCAGCAGUUGAAGGCCGAGAUCAUGGAUGGCCUACAGCCCGUGCAGCUCAACGCUGAACACAGUACCUCCAUUGAGGAGGAGGUGAAGAGGAUCAAGGCCGAACAUAAUGAUAGCAACGCCAUCAUCCACGGCAGAGUGAAGGGGAAACUCAACAUCACCAGAGCAUUCGGGGCUGGCUACUUGAAGGAGCCAAAGUGGAACAGUAUGUUGUUAGCGUCCUUCAAGAUUGAUUACAUCGGCAAGGACCCCUACAUCAAUUGCAUCCCAUCACUGCACCACCACUGUAUCGGUCCAAACGACAAGUUCCUGGUGUUGUCGUCUGACGGGCUCUAUCAGUAUUUCACCAACAAAGAGGUGGUUGAUGAGGCAGAGAUGUUCACAACUGUGUAUCCCAAGGGCAAUCCUGCUGAGCAUCUCAUCAAAGAAGUGUUACUUCGGGCUGCAAGGAAGGCCGGUAUGGACUACCAUGAACUGCUCAAGAUAUCCCAUGACGAAAGGAGAAAGUACCAUGAUGAUAUUUCUGUCAUGGUGAUCUCGUUCAAGGGGAGGAUGGGGAGAUCCUCCGUUUAG